Molecule: ribosomal RNA, 253 nt
Filed under: uncultured bacterium
Lineage: Bacteria
Description: partial 16S ribosomal RNA
Rfam family: Bacterial small subunit ribosomal RNA
Source: RNAcentral
UACGUAGGAGGCGAGCGUUGUCCGGAUUGACUGGGCGUAAAGCGCACGCAGGCGGUUGCGCGCGUGGGGUGUGAAAUCUGGCCGCUUAACGGCCAGGCGCCAUCCCAUACGGCGCGACUGGAGUGAUGCAGAGGUCGAUGGAAUUGCCGGUGUAGUGGUGAAAUGCGUAGAGAUCGGCAGGAACACCCAGGGGGAAACCAGUCGACUGGGCAUCUACUGACGCUGAGGUGCGAGAGCGUGGGGAGCGAACCGG